GCGACUCUAGGUUUCAAGUGGGGUGCUACGGUCCCACCAAUUUACAUGCCACCUCACCUAACAGUUAUUGGUGACAUAUAAACUAUGAGUGUACAACUCUUUUACAAUGCUUCUCAAGCAAGUUGUAGCGCUAUCAGGUCUCUAAGUAAUGUAGACCUCACCUAACAGUUAUUGGCCCCAUUCCUUAGUUAAGUCGGACCCACCGUAUAACCGCAGAAGCAAAGCCGUCAUUGGGUCCCUCACCUAACAGUUAUUGGGCCCAACCCUAUCUUUUCCCCUACAACAUCUCAUGCCUAAUAGAGAGGUCCAGUCCCCCGAUGCAACUUGCCCACUGUAUCCAGCCGAGGCAAAUCAACGCCGGAAAGACCUUAGCAGCUCUACUACGGUG
This 388-nucleotide long non-coding RNA is filed under the name Phoenix dactylifera (date palm). Its description in RNAcentral is "long non-coding RNA (PDAC_LNC010224)". The record is from RNAcentral. Lineage: Eukaryota; Viridiplantae; Streptophyta; Magnoliopsida; Arecales; Arecaceae.